This 976-nucleotide long non-coding RNA is filed under the name Cricetulus griseus (Chinese hamster). RNAcentral describes it as "lncRNA (ENSCGRG00015033754.1)". The record is from RNAcentral. Lineage: Eukaryota; Metazoa; Chordata; Mammalia; Rodentia; Cricetidae.
AAACUGAAAGGCAGAGAUAACUGUGAGGUGCAGUGAGCAGAACCCCUUAUCUGAAAUGUGUGGUCUGACCUGGGUGCCAAAUCUGCUCCCUCAUGUCAUGAGAACUUAGACCCUUUAGCAAGAGGAUGUGAAGAUGCAGACCCUAUGCUAUUGGUAGGAAAGCAGACCAGUGCUGUCAUGGAAAAUACUGAGAAUGCCCCUCAAAACAUGAAGAUACAUCUACCAUUGAUGCAGAAACUGACUGCUGUUUCUCUACCUGACCAAAUCAGGCUCCAACACUAGGAUCUACUGGUCCAGGAUUCUAAGCAUCCACCACCUGAGCCCCCAGUUCCCUUCUGGGGUUUCGAGAAUGAAGUUCGGCAUCUCCAUAUAUGUCUAAUGACACCUUUGGACAAUCAAAUGCUGGCAUUUCUUGGGCAUCCAGAUGAGUGAAGCUGCUGUGGAAGAAGGAACCACCUGGCCAAUUGCAACAUCACCACGAUGUGGGUUGGUGGCCCAUUGCACAGUGCUACUGAAAUGACAAGUUCAGCAAAGACACCAAUACUGUGUAAAGGUAUCAUUGGCACUACAUAAAGCCAAGCCAGACUUGGAGGAAAAGAAGUCAAGACAGAAGUUAUGAACAAAGACACAUGUGGAUAACAUCUUACUGAAUAUGGACUUAGCAAUAAUAGAAUAUUUAUUAUUAUUAUUUAGUCAAUUUGAUGAUUAUGAGCAUUUUAUUACUUUUCAUAAUGAUAUCACUUUCCCAGGAUUAGUGAAGUAUACAUUUUUUUGUAGGAAAGAAAGCUGUGAAUGCUGUGGAUGUAGAAACACAUAUGUCUUUAUAAGUUCUAGUCUCAGAGUGUAGUAAAGGUUGACAUGAUGUCAUCAUGAAGUUCUUACAAAUGUUUCUCAUAACUUAGAAAUUUCUGAAUCUGUUAUUUAUUGCAAUUUUUCAAAGCUGAUCUAAACUCUUCAUCUGAAUGAAAAGCUGUGA